RNAcentral lists this transfer RNA (63 nucleotides) under Ceratobaeus sp. MM-2013. RNAcentral describes it as "tRNA-Tyr". The record is from RNAcentral. Lineage: Eukaryota; Metazoa; Arthropoda; Insecta; Hymenoptera; Scelionidae.
AGUGAUAUGUCUGAUUUAGGUGAUAAAUUGUAAAUUUAUUUAAAGAAAAAAUUCUUAUUACUA